CGGAGGAAGAGGAGGAGGAUGAGAAGGAGAUGGUGCAGGAGGAGGUGUUGCAGGAGGAGGAGAAGGAGGAGGAUGAGAAGGAGGUGGUGCGGGAGGAAAAAGAGAAGGAGGUGGUUCAGGAUGAGGAGGAGAAGGAGGUGGUGCAGGUGGAAGAGGAGGAGGAUGAGAAGGAGGUGGUGCAGGAGGAAGAGGAUGAGAAGGAUGUGGUGCAGGAGGAAGAGGAGGAGGAGGAGAAGGAGGUGGUUCAGGAGGAAGAGGAGGAGGAUGAGGUGGUGCAGGAGGAAGAAGAGGAGAGGAGGUGGUGCAGGAGGAAGAGGAGGAGGAUGAGAAGGAGGAUGAGGUGGUGCAGGAGGAAGAAGAGGAGAGGAGGUGGUGCAGGAGGAAGAGGAGGAGGA
This is a long non-coding RNA of Oncorhynchus tshawytscha (Chinook salmon), 395 nucleotides long. The record is from Ensembl. NCBI's taxonomy places the organism in Eukaryota, Metazoa, Chordata, Actinopteri, Salmoniformes, Salmonidae.